This 23-nucleotide non-coding RNA is filed under the name Arabidopsis thaliana (thale cress). Lineage: Eukaryota; Viridiplantae; Streptophyta; Magnoliopsida; Brassicales; Brassicaceae. The record is from RNAcentral.
GAAAGAUGUGGAGGUUCACUGUG